This 1059-nucleotide long non-coding RNA is filed under the name Mustela putorius furo (domestic ferret). RNAcentral describes it as "lncRNA (ENSMPUG00000029049.1)". The record is from RNAcentral. Lineage: Eukaryota; Metazoa; Chordata; Mammalia; Carnivora; Mustelidae.
GGAGGGGUGAAGAUAGCCCUGCGACCAUGCCGAGCUCGGAAGAAAACCAAGUGGGGAGGGGGUACUGGUCAGCUCUCGGUUUCCAGGCUCCUUCUCCAUCUCCGGGAGGGGACUCCCUGUCAACGAGGCUUGCGCGCCCCCUGCUGGCAGGCCUGCUGGCACUGCACCUUGGGCUUCGGAGACUCCCAGCCCCUGUAACCAAUGUCCAUAAAAGGUGGGGUAUCCAAACUGGGAGGACCCUCAGAGAUCAUCCACCCAUGCCUUACCGAUGAGACAGGAGGCCCUGUGUAGGGUAGGGAGCUGGCACAGCGUAGGAAUUCGGGGCCCUGGAUCGGAGGCGAGGCUCUGUCAAUGCCUCGGGCUGGGAGUCACACUUGGCCUUCUUCCUGUGCCUGGAAAUCACCUGCCUUUGUCCACUUGGAGCCUUUGCAAACACUCUUCCUCCUGCUCCAUUUUCGCAUGGCUGGUCCUUACCAGCCAUUGGAGGUCACCUCUCUGGGGGAGCCUGCCCAGACUGCUGGCUAAGCUUCCCUCUGUGCCUUGUCCAGGCACUCCAUAGCGCUCUCCUGCUUUUUCUCCCCGGCACCUACCACUGCCAGAGCUUGAGUGAUUGGGUCAUUGUUUGCCGCCCCCCUCCUGCCUCUCAGACUGGGCCAGCUGCCUUGUCUGUUGUGAGCCAAAUGCCUGAUGUCUGCCAGUGUCCCGUACGCAGGAGGCCCCCAGGAAUUUUUACCUGUGGACUCCGCAGAGGCUUCCAGUGCAUGGAGAGAGCUGGUGUUUGGAGCCAGACUGUCCUACCUUGAACUUGAGUUAGAAUUCCAAGUCCUGAGGACGCCUGGGUGACUCAGCUGGUGAAGCUGGCUAAGCAUUUGCCUCAGGCUUGGGUCAUGAUCUCAGGGUCCUGGGAUGGAGCCCCGAAUCUGGCUCCCCACUUAGUGGGGAGUUUGCUUCUCUUUCUCCCGCUGCCCCCCUCACCCAUUUGUGUGCUCUCUCUCAAAUAAAUCAAUAAGAUCUAAAAANNNNNNNNNNNNNNNNNNNNAAAAAAAAAAAAACCCAAAA